RNAcentral lists this ribosomal RNA (251 nucleotides) under uncultured prokaryote. RNAcentral describes it as "partial 16S ribosomal RNA". It matches the Rfam family "Bacterial small subunit ribosomal RNA", at positions 524 to 774 of the family's 1533-position model. The record is from RNAcentral.
UACGGAGGAUGCAAGCGUUAUCCAGAUUUAUUGGGUUUAAAGGGUGCGCAGGUUGUUUGAUAAGUCAGUGGUGAAAGUCUGUCGCUUAACGGUAGGAUUGCCAUUGAUACUGUUGGACUUGAAUAUGGAUGAGGUAGGCGGAAUGUGUAGUGUAGCGGUGAAAUGCAUAGAUAUUACACAGAACACCGAUUGCGAAGGCAGCUUACUAAUCCAUCAUUGACGCUGAGGCACGAAAGCGUGGGGAUCAAACA